Molecule: RNA transcript, 661 nt
Organism: Megalobrama amblycephala (Wuchang bream)
Lineage: Eukaryota; Metazoa; Chordata; Actinopteri; Cypriniformes; Xenocyprididae
Gene name: dynein light chain, cytoplasmic-like
Exons: 3
Source: RefSeq, a predicted model, not a curated record
CAAACACGUGUGAAGUUUCACAGACACUGAGAGAAUCAUCAUAUAAUCACCACAUAAAUAAGAUCAACCAUGCCGAAGACAUCGACUGAGAUCCAUAAAUCAGAGAUGAGUAAUGAGAUGGAGCAUGAGGUUCUUCAGGUCGCUCUUCUGGCUGUGAAUAUGUAUGAAGAGGAAGAUGAUAUUGCUGAAUACAUAAAGAUGGAGUUUCAGAGAAAGCAUGGAGGCACCUGGCAAUGCAUUAUGGGGAACUUUGCUUGCAGCGUGACACAUAAACAGAACGGUUAUAUCAACUUCUCUGUUGAUGGCGAAAAGAUUUUGCUCUUCAAAACUGGCUGAGGUUCAUCAACAGUUCAAACACAAUUUAUUUGAUCCACAUAAUUAAUAAAACAUCCUCCCUCAGCUUGUGGUUCACGUGUCUUUCUGCUGUGAAAUCUUGACUUUUUUUUUUUUAAUAAAGUAAAUGUACGAAUAACUUUGAUAUUGUUAGUAAUAUUUCAAGAUGAACACUUUAUUUGAUUAUCCAAGGUCAAGGUCAAAGUUUAUUUUAAGCCCAAAGGGGGAUUUUUGGCGCAGUAUAAAAUAUGUAAAACACACAAUAAACAAACAACAUUGUGACAUCUUACAGGUUUAAAAGCCAAAUCACACCAGAAUGAAUCAUGUU